CACCCUACGGGGCGCAGCAGUGGGGAAUAUUGCACAAUGGGGGAAACCCUGAUGCAGCGACGCCGCGUGAGUGAAGAAGUAUUUCGGUAUGUAAAGCUCUAUCAGCAGGGAAGAAAAAAGACGGUACCUGACUAAGAAGCCCCGGCUAACUACGUGCCAGCAGCCGCGGUAAUACGUAGGGGGCAAGCGUUAUCCGGAUUUACUGGGUGUAAAGGGAGCGUAGACGGAGAAGCAAGUCUGGAGUGAAAGCCCGGGGCCCAACCCCGGGACUGCUCUGGAAACUGCGGCGCUGGAGUACGGGAGGG
Molecule: ribosomal RNA, 305 nt
Filed under: uncultured bacterium
Lineage: Bacteria
Description: bacterial SSU rRNA
Rfam family: Bacterial small subunit ribosomal RNA
Source: RNAcentral